Molecule: long non-coding RNA, 602 nt
Filed under: Leguminivora glycinivorella
Lineage: Eukaryota; Metazoa; Arthropoda; Insecta; Lepidoptera; Tortricidae
Description: uncharacterized LOC125239460
Source: RNAcentral
UCGCAAGGCUAAUCCGACCGUCCAUGCGCUAUUCGUAUCAACUGUACUACGACCGGUCUGAGCUGACGUCACGGAAUAAUCUCGAACUGGCGCGAGCGCUGCCCCGCCGCGCCGCCCAGUCAUCAGUCCGCGCCAGCUAUCAAACGAUACGCACGUACCGUCGCGCACACGGGCCAGCCCGUGUCGUCUCGCGCGCUGUACGAAUUAUAAUUUUAAUUAUUUUCUGGUGGGCGCGGACACCUGCAAAUUUAUUUAAUUUAAAUAUAUUCGGCGACGUAAUCGCGAAAUAACGAGUUCCCGCACCCACGUACUGGGUGCGCCGUUAUUUUUAAAAAAGAAGACCGUUCGGCCGACGUGUCACACCGUCACCAGCAUCCACACACACAACAUCCAGACGGCUGGGUUGGAGCCUGAGUCGUUCGCCCGCCGUCGCCCCUGCUCCUCUUCAGCGCUGGCCCCCACACCUGCUGCGGACCACCAUCAUAACCACCAGCCAGGGCAGUACCGCUCCGCGGUGGCAAAUUAUAGACCGGGCCUUGACCACCCACGACCCUAUUCCAAGAUUUUAGUUUUUUUUAAAUAAAUUAUUUUUGUUAACGUUC